GCUGGGCAUGGUGGCGCAUGCCUGUAAUCCCAGCUACUUGGGAAGCUGAGGUAGGAGAAUUGCUUGAACCCAGGAGGCGGAUGUUGCAGUGAGCUGAGGUUGUGCCACUGCAAUCCAGCCUGGAUGACAGAGUAAAACUCCAUCUCAA
Unclassified non-coding RNA from Pongo abelii (Sumatran orangutan), 148 nucleotides. It matches the Rfam family "Metazoan signal recognition particle RNA". From Rfam's summary of the family: The signal recognition particle (SRP) is a universally conserved ribonucleoprotein. It is involved in the co-translational targeting of proteins to membranes. The eukaryotic SRP consists of a 300-nucleotide 7S RNA and six proteins: SRPs 72, 68, 54, 19, 14, and 9. The record is from Ensembl. NCBI's taxonomy places the organism in Eukaryota, Metazoa, Chordata, Mammalia, Primates, Hominidae.